CAAUAGCGUAUAUUAAAGUUGUUGCGGUUAAAAAGCUCGUAGUUGGAUUUCUGCUGAGGACGAUCGGUCCGCCCACUGGGUGAGUAUCUGGCUCGGCCUUGGCAUCUUCUUGGAGAACGUUGCUGCACUUGACUGUGUGGUGCGGUAUCCAGGACUUUUACUUUGAGGAAAUUAGAGUGUUUCAAGCAGGCGCACGCCUUGAAUACAUUAGCAUGGAAUAAUAAGAUAGGACCUUGGUUCUAUUUUGUUGGUUUCUAGAGCUGAGGUAAUGAUUAAUAGGGAUAGUUGGGGGCAUUCGUAUUUAACUGUCAGAGGUGAAAUUCUUGGAUCUGUUAAAGACGGACUACUGCGAAAGCAUUUGCCAAGGAUGUUUNCAUUGA
This 380-nucleotide ribosomal RNA is filed under the name uncultured eukaryote. RNAcentral's name for it is "partial 18S ribosomal RNA". It matches the Rfam family "Eukaryotic small subunit ribosomal RNA", at positions 592 to 976 of the family's 1831-position model. The record is from RNAcentral.